AUUAACGCUAGCGGCAGGCAUAAUACAUGCAAGUUGAACGGCAGCACAGGUAGCAAUACUGGGUGGCGAGUGGCGCACGGGUGCGUAAUACGUAUGCAACCUACCCUAUACAGGCGAAUAACCUUUAGAAAUGAGGGCUAAUACGCCGUAGUAUUACAGAUGGGCAUCUAUUUGUAAUUAAAGAUUUAUCGGUAUAGGAUGGGCAUGCGUCCCAUUAGUUAGUUGGUAAGGUAACGGCUUACCAAGACGAUGAUGGGUAGGGG
Molecule: ribosomal RNA, 263 nt
Filed under: uncultured bacterium
Lineage: Bacteria
Description: partial 16S ribosomal RNA
Rfam family: Bacterial small subunit ribosomal RNA
Source: RNAcentral